This 253-nucleotide ribosomal RNA is filed under the name uncultured bacterium. RNAcentral describes it as "partial 16S ribosomal RNA". It matches the Rfam family "Bacterial small subunit ribosomal RNA", at positions 524 to 776 of the family's 1533-position model. The record is from RNAcentral.
UACGUAGGUGGCAAGCGUUGUCCGGAUUUAUUGGGCGUAAAGCGCGCGCAGGCGGUCCUUUAAGUCUGAUGUGAAAUCUUGCGGCUCAACCGCAAGCGGUCAUUGGAAACUGGGGGACUUGAGUACAGAAGAGGAAAGCGGAAUUCCACGUGUAGUGGUGAAAUACGUAGAGAUUGGGAAGAACACCAGUGGCGAAGGCGGCAUCCUGGACCGGCAUUGACGCUGAGGAGCGAAAGCCAGGGGAGCAAACGGG